UAACACGUAGGAGGCGAGCGUUGUCCGGAAUCAUUGGGCGUAAAGAGCGCGCAGGCGGCUUGGCAAGUCGGGUGUGAAAUCCCGGGGCUCAACCCCGUGACUGCAUCCGAUACUGUCAGGCUAGAGGUAGGUAGGGGAGAUCGGAAUUCCUGGUGUAGCGGUGAAAUGCGCAGAUAUCAGGAGGAACACCGGUGGCGAAGGCGGAUCUCUGGGCCUUACCUGACGCUCAGGCGCGAAAGCUAGGGGAGCGAACAGG
This 256-nucleotide ribosomal RNA is filed under the name uncultured bacterium. Its description in RNAcentral is "partial 16S ribosomal RNA". It matches the Rfam family "Bacterial small subunit ribosomal RNA", at positions 521 to 776 of the family's 1533-position model. The record is from RNAcentral.